This 507-nucleotide long non-coding RNA is filed under the name Sorghum bicolor (sorghum). RNAcentral describes it as "long non-coding RNA (SBIC_LNC016297)". The record is from RNAcentral. Lineage: Eukaryota; Viridiplantae; Streptophyta; Magnoliopsida; Poales; Poaceae.
UGACUGACCAAAAGUAUGAAGCGACGAUCAACAGUGACUCAUUCCUCUGCAUAUCGGCAAGGGACAACCUAAUGCACUGGUCCAAUUUUCGCUCGCCCCAUUGAACCUCAUUUGAAUGACUGACUCUCAAGAACCAAUCCUUCCAUCCCUUGGUAGGACUGGGCCAGGAACGGAAGGCAUCCUUCCAUAGAUCUAGGGAGAAAUUUUCGGCUCUAAAAGAAACUAUGUUUGUCUGUGCGUUUAUCAGAUCGGUGGGAUCUAGGUUUCCUAGCGGGCCAAGACAUUGUAGGUGAGGUUGAUUGGUAGAAAUAAUGAUCUUAUCAGCCAGAUCCUAAAGGUUUGUGGGGAUAAAAGAAAGAACAAAAAAGAAAAAGGAGUAUUCAGUAAAAGAAAUCGCGGAUGAACCGGAGUACGGUAAAGAUGCAGAAAAGAAGGGUAGUGAACGGACCUCAGGCACGGUGAAGUUGAUGGCCAUUUUCUUGCGAGGAAGAAGAUCAAAGACUUGGG